GGGCGGGUAGCUCAGCGGGAGAGCAUCGGCCUUACAAGCCGGGGGUCACAGGUUCAAACCCUGUUCCGCCUACCA
Molecule: transfer RNA, 75 nt
Filed under: delta proteobacterium ML8_D
Lineage: Bacteria; Deltaproteobacteria
Also listed under: 3 other names
Description: tRNA-Val
Rfam family: tRNA
About the family: Transfer RNA (tRNA) molecules are approximately 80 nucleotides in length. Their secondary structure includes four short double-helical elements and three loops (D, anti-codon, and T loops). Further hydrogen bonds mediate the characteristic L-shaped molecular structure. tRNAs have two regions of fundamental functional importance: the anti-codon, which is responsible for specific mRNA codon recognition, and the 3' end, to which the tRNAs corresponding amino acid is attached (by aminoacyl-tRNA synthetases). tRNAs cope with the degeneracy of the genetic code in two manners: having more than one tRNA (with a specific anti-codon) for a particular amino acid; and 'wobble' base-pairing, i.e. permitting non-standard base-pairing at the 3rd anti-codon position.
Source: RNAcentral